CACUGACAAUGACACAAUUCCCAUUGCCUAGAUGGAACCUGCUCAACAGGGUUUGGGCCAAUAAUUUCAUUUCUUUUUAAGGCAACACAGCUCUUUGAUGAGAUUGCUACAAGAAACUAAGGACUCUUGUAUACAGCAGAUUUAUAUUCCUUUAAGUUCCUCAUCAAGUGCAUACAUUUAACAGGAUUUCUCUUGACAACCAGGUAACAUUCCUUUUAUCCCACCAUGUAAAGGUACACCAAUUUUUUUGCAUGAAUUCAUGGAUCUUUUUAUCUCCCCCAUUGGACUACCUCGCCUAGAGACAUCACUCUCGCAAGCUUCUAGCAGGGUUCUUGCCCUCCCAAAGUCCUUCGAGAUUUAAAAAGAUUCAUUUUGUUGGUUGUUGUUUUUCCAAAGUGGAGUAAGGCUGGCAUGCUACAAAAUGAAGUGCCAGCACCCAAUGCCAUCUUUAUUUUCAGUUAUGUUUCUAGAGGCAUUCUUUGGAUAUAAAAAUGCCCGAUGACUACAGUUGAGCAGCUUUUGAAGAACACUCAAACAUGUAGGAAAAAAGGCAAAGAAAGGGGGGAAAGUAAGCUUUUGUGGCUUGGAGAAUCCUGACUGGGGGCCAGAGAGCAUCUUGGGAGUUGACUGGAGCAAUGUUUUGAAUGUUGCCUAAUACGUAGCUUUGUCUUGUUGUUUAAUGUGGUCUUUGAUUGGGGAAUUUUUUUUUGUCAUGGUGUGUUUGGCCUGAUAUGUUUUCUGUUGAAGCUGGGAAGGGGGUGAUCGAACAUGCAUUUUGCUUGAUGCCAUGCAUGUGAGCUAUAUGAAGUGCUUGAAGUGUGAAUGUUUUGCCUAUGUGUGUGCACUGCUGAACAUUACCAGUUUGUCUUCUAUAAAAAUGAACAUUUUGUUGUGCCUUAUGAAAUAAAAUAUCUGAUUUGACAUUUGGAGCUCUGGAUUCGCCUUUGCCUUUUAAAAUUUCUUGGCUAAGUUACAUACAUCUGAACCUUAUCCACUUCUUUUCAAGGAAAUACACAGGUAUUGGAGCAGAAUAUUGUGGGUCCAAGACAGGUUUUAUGCCUUGCAGUUCACCUUUGUUUUCAAUGUAUUUGUCAGGUUACUUUUCUUUCAAACCCAUGGUUUUUUAAUCUUGUGGGAAUCUAAUAUCUUUAUGAAUGACCAUGCUGUGGCAGCCAUUUUGUACAUAGCCAGUCUCUCAGGGCAGCCAUUUUGUGAGAGGCUUCACAUUACAUUCCCAGUGAACUCACUGCCUGUUUUUAAACCCUUCAUAUUAUGCAGAGGUAUGGUGGUUAGUGGACUGAGUCCUCUUCUUUGGGACACCAUCAUGUGAAGCAUCUCAGUUUCCAUGUUCCUUAUGUGAUAUUAUUCUUUCUCCACCUGUUUUUGAGCCAUGCAAACUCUUCCAUAUCACACAUGUCCUGAAUAAAGCAAAACAGAGCACCCA
Molecule: long non-coding RNA, 1444 nt
Filed under: Pogona vitticeps (central bearded dragon)
Lineage: Eukaryota; Metazoa; Chordata; Lepidosauria; Squamata; Agamidae
Description: lncRNA (ENSPVIG00000017390.1)
Source: RNAcentral